GGCGAGUGAGCGGCAAAAGCUCAAAUUUGAAAUCUGGCUCUUUCAGAAGUCCGAGUUGUAAUUUGAAGAAGGUAUCUUUGGGUCUGGCUCUUGUCUAUGUUUCUUGGAACAGAACGUCACAGAGGGUGAGAAUCCCGUGCGAUGAGAUGAUCCAGGCCUAUGUAAAGUUCCUUCGAAGAGUCGAGUUGUUUGGGAAUGCAGCUCUAAGUGGGUGGUAAAUUCCAUCUAAAGCUAAAUAUUGGCGAGAGACCGAUAGCGAACAAGUACAGUGAUGGAAAGAUGAAAAGAACUUUGAAAAGAGAGUGAAAAAGUACGUGAAAUUGUUGAAAGGGAAGGGCUUGAGAUCAGACUUGGUAUUUUGUAUGUUACUUCUUCGGGGGUGGCCUCUACAGUUUAUCGGGCCAGCAUCAGUUUGGGCGGUAGGAGAAUUGCGUUGGAAUGUGGCACGGCUUUGGUUGUGUGUUAUAGCCUUCGUCGAUACUGCCAGCCUAGACUGAGGACUGCGGUUUAUACCUAGGAUGUUGGCAUAAUGAUCUUAAGUCGCCCGUCUUG
Molecule: ribosomal RNA, 552 nt
Filed under: Candida tropicalis
Lineage: Eukaryota; Fungi; Ascomycota; Pichiomycetes; Serinales; Debaryomycetaceae
Description: eukaryotic LSU rRNA
Rfam family: Eukaryotic large subunit ribosomal RNA
Source: RNAcentral